Molecule: long non-coding RNA, 520 nt
Filed under: Olea europaea subsp. europaea
Lineage: Eukaryota; Viridiplantae; Streptophyta; Magnoliopsida; Lamiales; Oleaceae
Source: RNAcentral
UUCGAUUUGCUUAAUUUUCCGAGAUUAUGUUUUAUUCGGUUAUCUGUGGUUCUAACAUUUGAAUUUUUUUCAUGAUGAAAUAUCAUAUGGAUGAGGAGUUGAGAUGGAUGCCGGGAAAAGCUACUUGGAAUAGUGGUUUUGACAGCUUCACUACAUUAUUGCAGCUGCGGGACGACCAACACGUGAAUAUUCUACGCCAAUCCUUCCUCUGGAAGGGAGGACUAGUACUCCGGGCAAAUCAUCGAUGACCAAAUUAAGAACAAAAGAUGAUUGGUAUUCCAUUAGUUAUAGAAUUCAUGGAAUGCACAACGACUUGGAAAGGAAACAUGGAAUUACAGAAGCUAAGGAUAAUAGAACAAAUACAGCCUAAAUUGAAGAUAAUAUUUCAUGUGAUAGAAUGAUUAUAGAGAUUUCAUUUUUUCUUAUCAACGAGCACAUAUCAAAUGAUGAUGAUAUACAUAUAAAUUAUUGCAUAUUGGGCCUUAUUAUUGGACUUGGACGAGGUCCAUUAACGCAUUCA